Molecule: ribosomal RNA, 66 nt
Filed under: uncultured bacterium
Lineage: Bacteria
Description: partial 16S ribosomal RNA
Source: RNAcentral
UAGAAAGUAGACGUAACCCGGUAACGGACGACGGUCCGUAAACGGUAAAGUUCGGUAACUGGGGCU